GGGCCGUGGGGCUGGGCUCUGAGAGGAUUGAGCCAUGCAUGUCUCAGUACGAACUGUUUUAGAGUGUGCCCGCGCGUGGGUCUUUAUAACUCUUUUGGUUCCUUAUAUCUUACUCCUUUACUUGGAUAACUGGGGUAAUUUCAAAACUAAAAACUGGCAUCAGACCUCUGACUCUGGAUGGGAUGCGUGCUUUUAAUAAAUCGACGCCGCUCGCUCGACGCCCUCCCGUCCUAAUUCGUUAUUUUUCAUGAAUCUGGACGACUUUUGCGGCUCGCAUGCUCCAUUCCCAUUUACGCCCCUUCAACUUGCCUGCCUUAUCUACUUUCCUUGCAUGUUUCUGCCACUACCAUGGUUGUUACGAAGGCUUCCAAUCAGGGAUCCUUUCAGAGACUACCCCCGACAACAGUACACAUCCACGAAGGCCCCAAGCGGAAAGUACCCCUCCCGGACGCUAAUGAGGCUCUUAACCAAGUGAAAAACACAACCAAAACAUCGCGGAGGGGGGGGAGAACAAACAACAGACGAA
This 526-nucleotide ribosomal RNA is filed under the name Spodoptera litura. Its description in RNAcentral is "partial 18S ribosomal RNA". Lineage: Eukaryota; Metazoa; Arthropoda; Insecta; Lepidoptera; Noctuidae. The record is from RNAcentral.